Molecule: ribosomal RNA, 464 nt
Filed under: Vreelandella stevensii
Lineage: Bacteria; Pseudomonadati; Pseudomonadota; Gammaproteobacteria; Oceanospirillales; Halomonadaceae
Description: partial 16S ribosomal RNA
Rfam family: Bacterial small subunit ribosomal RNA
Source: RNAcentral
CUACGGGUGGCAGCAGUGGGGAAUAUUGGACAAUGGGCGAAAGCCUGAUCCAGCCAUGCCGCGUGUGUGAAGAAGGCCUUCGGGUUGUAAAGCACUUUCAGUGGGGAAGAAAGCCUUGGGGCUAAUACCCUCGAGGAAGGACAUCACCCACAGAAGAAGCACCGGCUAACUCCGUGCCAGCAGCCGCGGUAAUACGGAGGGUGCGAGCGUUAAUCGGAAUUACUGGGCGUAAAGCGCGCGUAGGCGGUCUGAUAAGCCGGUUGUGAAAGCCCCGGGCUCAACCUGGGAACGGCAUCCGGAACUGUCAGGCUAGAGUGCAGGAGAGGAAGGUAGAAUUCCCGGUGUAGCGGUGAAAUGCGUAGAGAUCGGGAGGAAUACCAGUGGCGAAGGCGGCCUUCUGGACUGACACUGACGCUGAGGUGCGAAAGCGUGGGUAGCAAACAGGAUUAGAUACCCUUGUAGUC